UGGGGAGUUUUGGACAAUGGGGGAAACCCUGAUCCAGCCAUCCCGCGUGUGCGAUGAAGGCCUUCGGGUUGUAAAUCACUUUUGGCAGGAAAGAAACGUCAUGGGUUAAUACCCCGUGAAACUGACGGUACCUGCAGAAUAAGCACCGGCUAACUACGUGCCAGCAGCCGCGGUAAUACGUAGGGUGCAAGCGUUAAUCGGAAUUACUGGGCGUAAAGCGUGCGCAGGCGGUUCGGAAAGAAAGAUGUGAAAUCCCAGAGCUCAACUUUGGAACUGCAUUUUUAACUACCGGGCUAGAGUGUGUCAGAGGGAGGUGGAAUUCCGCGUGUAGCAGUGAAAUGCGUAGAUAUGCGGAGGAACACCGAUGGCGAAGGCAGCCUCCUGGGAUAACACUGACGCUCAUGCACGAAAGCGUGGGGAGCAAACAGG
RNAcentral lists this ribosomal RNA (429 nucleotides) under Acidobacteriota bacterium. RNAcentral's name for it is "Acidobacteria bacterium partial 16S ribosomal RNA". It matches the Rfam family "Bacterial small subunit ribosomal RNA", at positions 355 to 776 of the family's 1533-position model. Lineage: Bacteria; Pseudomonadati; Acidobacteriota. The record is from RNAcentral.